AACGAACAGACCUGGACUGUGAGCCAUGGCUUGGAUUUCUGUUUUGAUCACACUUCUGGCUCACUGUACAGGAACCAUUUCCAAGGCUGUUGUGACUCAGGAAACUUCACUCAUCACAUCUCCUGGAGGGACAGUCACACUCACUUGUGGCUCUAGUACUGGGGCUGUUACCACCAGUAACUAUGCCAAGUGGGUCCAAGAAAAAUCUUACCAGGUAUACACUGGCCUGAUAGGUAAUACCAACACUAGAGUCCCACAUGUUUCUGCACGAUUCUCAGGCUCGCUGCUUGGAGACAAGGCGGCCCUCACCAUCACAGGGGCCCAGCCUGAGGAUGAGGCUGUGUAUUACUGUGCUCUGUGGUACAGUGAUACUUUACACAAUGGCACAAAACUGUCUGUACUGGGAAUUGAACCUGAA
This is a non-coding RNA of Arvicola amphibius (Eurasian water vole), 418 nucleotides long. The record is from the annotation of a RefSeq genome assembly. NCBI's taxonomy places the organism in Eukaryota, Metazoa, Chordata, Mammalia, Rodentia, Cricetidae.